CAGCAGCCGCGGUAAUACCGGCGGCCCGAGUGGCGGUCACUAUUAUUGGGCUUAAAACGUCCGUAGCCGGGUUGGGAAGUCCUCCGGGAAAUCUGGCCGCUUAACGGUCAGAAUGCCGGAGGAUACUCCCAGCCUAGGGAGCGGGAGAGGCCGAGGGGAUUCCCGGGGUAGGGGGGAAAUCCUAUAAUCCCAGGAGGACCACCAGGGGCGAAGGCGCCCGGCUGGGACGCGCCCGACGGGGAGGGGCGAAAGCCGGGGGAGCGAACCGGAUUAGAUACCCGGGUAGUCCCGGCUGUAAACGAUGCGGGCUAGCUGUUGGGUGGGCUUAGAGCCCACCCAGUGGCGCAGGGAAGCCGUUAAGCCCGCCGCCUGGGGAGUACGGCCGCAAGGCUGAAACUUAAAGGAAUUGGCGGG
RNAcentral lists this ribosomal RNA (414 nucleotides) under uncultured microorganism. Its description in RNAcentral is "bacterial SSU rRNA". It matches the Rfam family "Archaeal small subunit ribosomal RNA", at positions 459 to 872 of the family's 1478-position model. The record is from RNAcentral.